Hyaena hyaena (striped hyena) is the source of this 485-nucleotide long non-coding RNA. RefSeq lists it as uncharacterized. The transcript has 3 exons. The record is from RefSeq and is a predicted model, not a curated record. NCBI's taxonomy places the organism in Eukaryota, Metazoa, Chordata, Mammalia, Carnivora, Hyaenidae.
GUUUGUCAUCCUUGCCCUCAGGUCAAGACGGCUUGACAGCCAUCACUAGGAGUCCCUACGACAAGACCAAAGCUUUUGGGCACUGGAGACACUCGUGCAAACUAAAAAAGCCCUAGCCUUGUGGAGCUGACAUGCUGAUGACAGACAGACAGACAACAAACAUGUCAACCAGUAAACAGACUGUGUGAGACGAUGUAUCUGAAGCCUGCCCUUAAAUCUGGAGGCACCCGGCACUAUGGACUUGCGUUCUCCAGCCACAAGGUUAUGGGUCCAGAACCAAGCUCUGCCUCUCUGGAAUGCUUCCCAGAGCUCUGAGUCUGGGAUGAGGCCACAGAGAGCAGAGAGCACUGAGAACACGGCCACAGUCCGAGACGGAGGGUGCCAGGAGCGGCAGCGCCCGGCCACAUUCUUGCAGCGGUCAGUCCUUCUGAUCAAUCCCAUAAGUCACCCUGUAAUCUUCUAAUAAACCCCUCUUCUGCUGAGGC